This 329-nucleotide ribosomal RNA is filed under the name uncultured bacterium. RNAcentral describes it as "bacterial SSU rRNA". It matches the Rfam family "Bacterial small subunit ribosomal RNA", at positions 568 to 898 of the family's 1533-position model. The record is from RNAcentral.
CACGUAGGCGGUGCCAUAAGUCGGUUGUGAAAUCCCUCGGCCUAACCGAGGAACUGCGGCCGAUACUGUGGUGCUUGAGGACCAGAGGGGUGCAUAGAAUUUCCGGUGGAGCGGUGAAAUGCGUUGAUAUCGGAAGGAACUCCGGCGGCGAAAGCGAUGCACUGGCUGGUUUCUGACGCUGAGGUGCGAAAGCCAGGGGAGCAAACGGGAUUAGAUACCCCGGUAGUCCUGGCCGUAAACGAUGGGUACUAGGUAGGGGGAUUUCAAACGUCUCUCUGCUGGAGUGAAUAUUUAAGUACCCGCCUGGGAAGUACAGUCGCAAGGCUGAA